UACGUAGGGUGCGAGCGUUGUCCGGAAUUACUGGGCGUAAAGAGCUCGUAGGUGGUUUGUCGCGUUGUCCGUGAAAACUCGACAACUCAAUUGUGGGCGUGCGGGCGAUACGGGCAGACUGGAGUACUGCAGGGGAGACUGGAAUUCCUGGUGUAGCGGUGGAAUGCGCAGAUAUCAGGAGGAACACCGGUGGGCGAAGGCGGUUCUCUGGGCCUUACCUGACGCU
RNAcentral lists this ribosomal RNA (226 nucleotides) under uncultured bacterium. RNAcentral describes it as "partial 16S ribosomal RNA". It matches the Rfam family "Bacterial small subunit ribosomal RNA", at positions 524 to 747 of the family's 1533-position model. The record is from RNAcentral.